RNAcentral lists this ribosomal RNA (253 nucleotides) under uncultured bacterium. RNAcentral's name for it is "partial 16S ribosomal RNA". It matches the Rfam family "Bacterial small subunit ribosomal RNA", at positions 524 to 776 of the family's 1533-position model. The record is from RNAcentral.
UACGAAGGGGGCUAGCGUUGUUCGGAAUUACUGGGCGUAAAGCGCGCGCAGGCGGCCUUUCAAGUCAGGGGUGAAAGCCCGGAGCUCAACUCCGGAAUUGCCUUUGAAACUGUCAGGCUCGAGUACGGGAGAGGUGAGUGGAAUUCCCAGUGUAGAGGUGAAAUUCGUAGAUAUCGGGAGGAACACCUGUGGCGAAAGCGGCUCACUGGACCACAACUGACGCUGAGGCGCGAAAGCUAGGGGAGCAAACAGG